ACAUCCAGCGAACUUGGCAGAGAUGCCUUGGUGCCUUCGGGAACGCUGAGACAGGUGCUGCAUGGCUGUCGUCAGCUCGUGUUGUGAAAUGUUGGGUUAAGUCCCGNAACGAGCGCAACCCUUAUCCUUUGUUGCCAGCGAUUCGGUCGGGAACUCAAAGGAGACUGCCGGUGAUAAACCGGAGGAAGGUGGGGAUGACGUCAAGUCAUCAUGGCCCUUACGAGUAGGGCUACACACGUGCUACAAUGGCGCAUACAAAGAGAGGCGACCUCGCGAGAGCAAGCGGACCUCAUAAAGUGCGUCGUAGUCCGGAUCGGAGUCUGCAACUCGACUCCGUGAAGUCGGAAUCGCUAGUAAUCGUGGAUCAGAAUGCCACGGUGAAUACGUUCCCGGGCCUUGUACACACCGCCCGUCACACCAUGGGAGUGGGUUGCAAAAGAAGUAGGUAGCUUAACCCUCGGGAGGGCGCUUACCACUUUGUGAUUCAUGACUGGGGUGAAGUCGUAACAAGGUAGGCGUAGCGAG
Molecule: ribosomal RNA, 525 nt
Filed under: uncultured bacterium
Lineage: Bacteria
Description: bacterial SSU rRNA
Rfam family: Bacterial small subunit ribosomal RNA
Source: RNAcentral